Long non-coding RNA from Tupaia belangeri chinensis (Chinese tree shrew), 3612 nucleotides. RefSeq lists it as uncharacterized. Lineage: Eukaryota; Metazoa; Chordata; Mammalia; Scandentia; Tupaiidae. The transcript has 5 exons. The record is from RefSeq and is a predicted model, not a curated record.
CGGGAGGCGGGCUCUGACCCGGGAGCACCUGCCUCCAGGCCGCGCCUUCCGCUCCAGGCCAAUCAGCCUGCGCAGGCCGCACCUGCUCCUAGGCGACAACCACUUCGGCUCUGUGGCUGGACCUCCCGGGCAGCUAAAGUCUGAGUGCCUCUCAUGAUGACUGCUGAGACUUUGGACUGGAGACUUUCCAUAUGAGGUCAUGCAUUUGCUACCUUGCAAUUCGGACAUUAACUGAAACCCCCUCACCCUGUAACUAAAGGACAUAAAAUAAUCUGGAAACUUGCUAACAUCUGGGGAACACUCUACAGGGUGUAAUAGUGCCAGGGCACUCCCACAAAAAAAUAGAAAUGGAUUCCUUAGGAUCGUGCUACCUGGAGAAUGCAAGAAGAGGACCUCCUAGCAGGGAGCCUCUUCCUCUAAGACUAACUCCAGAUCUGCUGAGGAGCUGCUGAACUCCACAGUGCACUGUAAACCCCUUAGGGGAGAGAGGGUCUCAUUAGCAGAAAGCUUAGUCAUUGAAGCUAGGUUGAGGGGUAUUUCAGUUUGGGGAGCCAGUACAAAAGGCGCAAGGGAAACAGUAGUCCUGGAAACACAGGGGGCUGGUCUAACACCCACUUCUCUAUCUCAUUCCCUGUAUUGUGUGACAUGAGCACACAGUAAUGAGUGGCCACACACUGGGCUACGAAACAUAAAGAAAUCACCACUGGGAAUAAAGGGGGUGACAAGACUUCUGCCCUAUCCCCAGAUUGCUUCUCACCCUUACCUGGCUCUUGAGGUGAAGGAAAACCUUAUCUGACUGGUCUAACUUCAGGAUUGUCCCAUUCACUAACUGAGAGUUGAAGUACCUGGGUUCUAUAACCAGCUCUACCCCUCCGAGGCUGUGUUCCCACCCUGACAUCAGGUCCUCAGUUUCCCUAUCUGUAUAUUAAAAGUACUGGUCCAGAAUCAUUUAUUCCCAAAUAAAUGUGAGUAAAUGGCCUUUGCAAACUUUUUUAUUUUAUUUUUUUUAGAAAUUCACAGUCUUAACGAGGCAAGUUUUACUCUGUGGGAAGUCAAGGAGCUCAAAAUACCAGAUCUCUUUACCCAGAAUUACUCAGGCCGUAACACUGGAUCUUUAUGUAAUCAAGGCACAUGUGUGGGGGGCAGCCUGUGCCAUACUCAAGUCCCCCAGCUAUUACAGAGCAGAGGACAACCUGGAGGGGAAGGAUGAAAUGACUAAGGGCACUCACACCUUUAUGACUAGGUCACAAUGAGAUCACAAACACUGCUAACAGCCAUGAGGAGAUCCAGCAAAAGUGGGUAAGGGAGAUACCAGAUCUGCCCGGGCUAAGGGAAGACCUUUCCAAGGAAGGAUGCUGGACCUGGGGUUAGAGAAAUGAGUUGGAGCCACCAAGUGAAGGCUGGACAAGAAGAAUCCACAUUUCCCAGGUGCUGGCCAGGGGGUCCUCAGGCAAUGGCAUCCCAUACAGUGAUUAUACCUGAAUAGACUGACAUGUGUGGCUGUGAGUGCUCACAACCAGGACCAUGCACCAGAAUCAUGAGCUCUGGAAUGCGCUGGGUUAGAUGAAGGGAUACUUUCAAAAGUCACAGCAGCCAGACUUGCUCCUGACUUUGGAUCCUCUGCAGAAAGUCCAGCACCACCUGUUCACCUCCAUCCUUCAUUGAUGAAAAUGCCUAGGCCUGGUGUACUGGGCACACAGUCACAUGGACUUCUCCUCUUGCUCCCACCCAUAGCUGUUGGACUUCGCACCUGGCCAGCCUCCUACACCAUGCUGUCAGCAGGUGGCUGGGUGACCCAAGGAUUAGAAUGGAAGGGGAUGGUCCUCAUCUUGGCUAAAAAGUAUGCUACAAAGAGGGGGACUGGGCCUGGUGGAGGUUCUCUCCAGACUGGGGAGGCUGCAGCAGGCACAGAGGUUGCUCUGUAAACACUCUCCUGGACUCCUGCUCCAACUCUGCUAAGAAGGUUAAGAAGGGGCAGACAAGGAGCUAAUACUCUUCCUCUCUGGGUGGGAUGCUUUGGGGUAGGUGGAAGAAAUCUCAUUGCUGGUAGAGCCCCUCCUCCCGCCCCCGACAUUUUGCUCUACUCUCUCCUGGCCCAUCCAUAACCAGGGACAUCCCAUGAUGUCACGAAGUGUAGUUUUCUCCUGGAUGUUUUCAGGAGAUCUUACAGCCUGACUGUUUUGUCAGCUGGCAUUUCAUAUUUUACCCAAAACAUACUCCCAUAGCUUCCAAAUGCCCUCCUAUGAAGAGAAGGGUCCCAGAUCCUAUUGUGUACAAAGUAACCCCCAGGUUCCACAUGUCUCUAGAAGAGUGAUUAUACAACUAGUCCAGGUAUAUUUCUGGGUAGUAUAAUGGGGGGGGACAUAGGGGUGUCCUACAGAGAGAUGAGAAUUUCUGGCCUACAAGAAACAUGCUACUGACAGUUGCAUGUAAAAAUCAAUGACUUUAACUGCAGCAUCUUCACCCACUAGGAUGUUAUCUCGCUCGAUAUCUCUAUGUGCCACUCCCUUGCUGUGGCAGUACCCUACCACAGUUGUGUUCUACUGGAACGUGUUCCCAUCAUCAUCAUCAUCAUCCACACAGCCAUGCAGUGUGAGGUGGUCCAAGCGAUCCCCCAUGCUGCUCUGCUCCAUGAUGAGAUAGAGCACUUCUAGCUUAUUAACCACUUACUUCCAGGCCUUGGAUGAUAUUUUGGUACUACAGUGCCAUCAUUAUGUCAGCCUCUAAAGAGUGACUGGAGGAGCUGUGUGGACCUCCUUUCUGGAUGACUUUAACAGCCAUGGCAGAUGUGUGAAUUCUGGUUGGAAUAUACCAGGCUAGCUUGACUGGCGAAGCUACUCGUACUGGCAGUUUUGAGUUUUGAGGAGACUGUACUGAUGACUACAAGUCUCCUCAUUGACAGGUGACUUUGAAGCUCUGCUCCAUGGUGACCAGGUCCUACCUAUUCUAACUAGCAACACUAUAAACUAGAAAUGCUAGCUAGUACUACUGACUAUACCAAGUUCAGUGCCAAUAGUAAUGAACAAUACCAAUAGCAGUAACUAAUAAACAAUAUUAACUAUACUAAUAAUACCACCUAAAGAUACUAAUUAAAAUACUAACUCAAACAGAAAAAAUAUUAGCUAUGUGAACUUACAAAAAUACAAAAUGGAAAGAACAGGAUACAUAAAAAAUUGGAAAUUGGAAAAUAAAAAGGCUGGUGGAUGGCCACAUGUUUGUGGGAGGACUCAGAUGUGUCAGCCAUGAAAGCCUGAGGUACACUUGCAUUUGGAUUCACUUUUCUAAUCUUCUGAGAGAAAGCUGUUGACACACUAGUUGGAAUGAUUCCAUUAGCCUAACCCACAAAAUGCUUCUGGUUCAAAGAAUUUGCUUAUAUAUACGUGGGCAAGAUGGUUACUAGAUGAGCCUAAUGUGAUUUCCUCCCACAAAUAAAAGAUGAAAAAAGAGGAAAAGCAGCUGAUAUUCAUCUGUGGUGUUUAAGGGAGAGUGUCAGAGUGCAGUAUGGAUGUGGCAGAGAUGUUUCAGAGCAUGACACCUCAGGAUGGCCUUGUAGACAGGGAGCACAGUGCUCUGCAUUUUCUGCUCCAUCUCCCCAGGUAAGAUUGUCUAGGA